UACAGGGGGUGCAAACGUUGCUCGGAAUUAUUGGGCGUAAAGCGCGCGUAGGCGGCCGCUUAAGUCGGAUGUGAAAGCCCCUGGCUCAACUGGGGAAGUGCACCCGAAACUGAGUGGCUUGAGUACUAAAGAGGGUCGCGGAAUUCCCGGUGUAGAGGUGAAAUUCGUAGAUAUCAGGAGGAACACCAAUGGCGAAGGCAGCUCGCUGGAACGGUACUGACGCUGAGGCGCGAAAGCGUGGGGAGCGAACAGG
RNAcentral lists this ribosomal RNA (253 nucleotides) under uncultured bacterium. RNAcentral's name for it is "partial 16S ribosomal RNA". It matches the Rfam family "Bacterial small subunit ribosomal RNA", at positions 524 to 776 of the family's 1533-position model. The record is from RNAcentral.